CAAAUUGAUUAAGAUUAAUAUUUAUUUACAUUAAAUGAUAUAUUGUGCAAUUCAAUACAGUUUGA
This 65-nucleotide transfer RNA is filed under the name Elateroidea sp. 8 KM-2017. RNAcentral describes it as "tRNA-Val". Lineage: Eukaryota; Metazoa; Arthropoda; Insecta; Coleoptera. The record is from RNAcentral.